GACGUAGGGCGCGAGCGUUGUCCGGAUUUAUUGGGCGUAAAGAGCUCGUAGGCGGUCUGUCGCGUCGGCUGUGAAAUCCCGAGGCUCAACCUCGGGUCUGCAGUCGAUACGGGCAAACUGGAGUGUUGCAGGGGAGACUGGAAUUCCUGGUGUAGCGGUGAAAUGCGCAGAUAUCAGGAGGAACACCGGUGGCGAAGGCGGGUCUCUGGGCAACAACUGACGCUGAGGAGCGAAAGCGUGGGUAGCGAACAGG
This 253-nucleotide ribosomal RNA is filed under the name uncultured bacterium. RNAcentral's name for it is "partial 16S ribosomal RNA". It matches the Rfam family "Bacterial small subunit ribosomal RNA", at positions 524 to 776 of the family's 1533-position model. The record is from RNAcentral.